CCUACGGGUGGCAGCAGUGGGGAAUAUUGCACAAUGGGCGCAAGCCUGAUGCAGCCAUGCCGCGUGUGUGAAGAAGGCCUUCGGGUUGUAAAGCACUUUCAGCGGGGAGGAAGGCGUUAAGGUUAAUAACCUUGUCGAUUGACGUUACCCGCAGAAGAAGCACCGGCUAACUCCGUGCCAGCAGCCGCGGUAAUACGGAGGGUGCAAGCGUUAAUCGGAAUUACUGGGCGUAAAGCGCACGCAGGCGGUCUGUCAAGUCGGAUGUGAAAUCCCCGGGCUCAACCUGGGAACUGCAUUCGAAACUGGCAGGCUAGAGUCUUGUAGAGGGGGGAAGAAUUCCAGGUGUAGCGGUGAAAUGCGUAGAGAUCUGGAGGAAUACCGGUGGCGAAGGCGGCCCCCUGGACAAAGACUGACGCUCAGGUGCGAAAGCGUGGGGAGCAAACAGGAUUAGAUACCCUUGUAGUC
This 465-nucleotide ribosomal RNA is filed under the name uncultured Klebsiella sp. RNAcentral's name for it is "bacterial SSU rRNA". It matches the Rfam family "Bacterial small subunit ribosomal RNA", at positions 338 to 795 of the family's 1533-position model. The record is from RNAcentral. Lineage: Bacteria; Pseudomonadati; Pseudomonadota; Gammaproteobacteria; Enterobacterales; Enterobacteriaceae.